RNAcentral lists this ribosomal RNA (450 nucleotides) under uncultured bacterium. RNAcentral's name for it is "bacterial SSU rRNA". It matches the Rfam family "Bacterial small subunit ribosomal RNA", at positions 8 to 460 of the family's 1533-position model. The record is from RNAcentral.
AGAGUUUGAUCCUGGCUCAGAUUGAACGCUGGCGGCAUGCCUUACACAUGCAAGUCGAACGGCAGCGCGGGGGCAACCCUGGUGGCGAGUGGCGAACGGGUGAGUAAUAUAUCGGAACGUACCCAGUAGUGGGGGAUAACUAUCCGAAAGGAUAGCUAAUACCGCAUACGAUCUGUGGAUGAAAGCAGGGGAUCUUCGGACCUUGUGCUAUUGGAAUGGCCGAUAUCUGAUUAGCUAGUUGGUAGGGUAAAAGCCUACCAAGGCGACGAUCAGUAGCUGGUCUGAGAGGACGACCAGCCACACUGGAACUGAGACACGGUCCAGACUCCUACGGGAGGCAGCAGUGGGGAAUUUUGGACAAUGGGGGCAACCCUGAUCCAGCAAUGCCGCGUGAGUGAAGAAGGCCUUCGGGUUGUAAAGCUCUUUUGUCAGGGAAGAAACGGUGAUCUC